RNAcentral lists this ribosomal RNA (476 nucleotides) under fungal sp. KL-2011. Its description in RNAcentral is "eukaryotic LSU rRNA". The stretch from base 126 to 279 matches the Rfam family "5.8S ribosomal RNA". The record is from RNAcentral. Lineage: Eukaryota; Fungi.
CUUUGCCUGCUAUCUCUUACCCAUGUCUUUUGAGUACCUUCGUUUCCUCGGCGGGUCCGCCCGCCGAUUGGACAAUUUAAACCAUUUGCAGUUGCAAUCAGCGUCUGAAAAAACUUAAUAGUUACAACUUUCAACAACGGAUCUCUUGGUUCUGGCAUCGAUGAAGAACGCAGCGAAAUGCGAUAAGUAGUGUGAAUUGCAGAAUUCAGUGAAUCAUCGAAUCUUUGAACGCACAUUGCGCCCCUUGGUAUUCCAUGGGGCAUGCCUGUUCGAGCGUCAUUUGUACCUUCAAGCUCUGCUUGGUGUUGGGUGUUUGUCUCGCCUCUGCGUGUAGACUCGCCUCAAAACAAUUGGCAGCCGGCGUAUUGAUUUCGGAGCGCAGUACAUCUCGCGCUUUGCACUCAGAACGACGACGUCCAAAAGUACAUUUUUACACUCUUGACCUCGGAUCAGGUAGGGAUACCCGCUGAACUUAA